RNAcentral lists this ribosomal RNA (492 nucleotides) under uncultured bacterium. Its description in RNAcentral is "partial 16S ribosomal RNA". It matches the Rfam family "Bacterial small subunit ribosomal RNA", at positions 29 to 507 of the family's 1533-position model. The record is from RNAcentral.
AGUGAACGCUGGCGGUAGGCCUAACACAUGCAAGUCGAACGGCAGCACAGUAAGAGCUUGCUCUUACGGGUGGCGAGUGGCGGACGGGUGAGGAAUACAUCGGAAUCUACUUUUUCGUGGGGGAUAACGUAGGGAAACUUACGCUAAUACCGCAUACGACCUACGGGUGAAAGCAGGGCAUCUUCGGACCUUGCGCGAUUGAAUGAGCCGAUGUCGGAUUAGCUAGUUGGCGAGGUAAAGGCCCACCAAGGCGACGAUCCGUAGCUGACCUGAGAGGAUGAGCGGCCAAAGGGGAACUGAGAGACGGUCCAGACUCCGACGGGAGGCAGAAGUAGGGAAUCUUACGAAAUGGGCGAAAGCUUGAAGGAGCAAAGUCGCGUGAGGGAUGAAGGUCUUCGGAUCGUAAAACUCUGUUAUUAGGGAAGAACAUAUGGGUAAGUAACAGUGCACAUCUUGACGGUACCUAAUCAGAAAGCCACGGCUAACUACGUG